UACGAAGGGGGCUAGCGUUGUUCGGAUUUACUGGGCGUAAAGCGCACGUAGGCGGGUUGUUAAGUCAGGGGUGAAAUCCUGGAGCUCAACUCCAGAACUGCCUUUGAUACUGAGGAUCUUGAGUUCGGGAGAGGUGAGUGGAACUGCGAGUGUAGAGGUGAAAUUCGUAGAUAUUCGCAAGAACACCAGUGGCGAAGGCGGCUCACUGGCCCGAUACUGACGCUGAGGCACGAAAGCGUGGGGAGCAAACAGG
Molecule: ribosomal RNA, 253 nt
Filed under: uncultured bacterium
Lineage: Bacteria
Description: partial 16S ribosomal RNA
Rfam family: Bacterial small subunit ribosomal RNA
Source: RNAcentral